CCCUGCCACUUCCUCCCCUCACAUCACACACAACCCCUCUCUGUCUCUCUCGCUUCUUGUUCACUUUCUCUCUCUAAAAGCUUGAAGCACAAGCAUACAAAAUUGAUAUACAUAUAUUAUAUAUAUUUAUAUACAUAUAUGGUUUGAUGUGUAUGCAUAGGCUUUGGGUUUGAACUUUGAAGGCUUUGAGCUCUGUGAGUUGAUCAGUAAUGGCGACGGCGCCAGUGAAGCCACCGCUGCACAACUUCCCUCUCGCAUUCUUGAAAUGGGGGGCGAAGAACAACUCGACCACCAUCAACAACCACCGCUACCGCCGACCCGUCUCCGCCGAACCCGCCUCCGAGCCCGACUCCGAAUCCGAACGCACCCACUACAACAACAGCCGGGUCGGAUCCUCCCGCCACCGCUACUCCUUGAUCCCGUGCGCUGGCGACAAGCGUCGCAGGAGCGUGGAGAGAGAGAGCGAUCAGGAGGAGGGCGAGGAAGCUGACAAAGCCGAGGUAGUUCAGAAGCCCUGGAAUCUGAGGCCCAGGAGAGCUCCGGCGACGACGUCGUUUUCCAAGGGAGGUGCCAACGGUGAACCGCACGAACUGGAGAGUCCGAACCCGAACCAGAGCGAGCUGCAGCAGCCGAAGUCGAUGAGGUUGAGGGGUUUGGCGGCGGAGGGGCAGAAUGUGGAGAAGAAAGAGAACAGGAAGUUCUGGAUCGCUUUGUCAAAGGAGGAGAUUGAAGAGGACAUAUUUGUGAUGACUGGGUCGAGGCCUGCCAGAAGGCCCAAGAAGAGGCCGAAGAAUGUUCAGAAACAGCUCGAUAUUACUUUUCCUGGGUUGUGGUUGGUGGGUGUUACUGCGGAUGCUUACAAGGUUGCUGAUUCUCCUUCUAAGAGGUAGAUUUGUAUUGUGCCCAGAAGAUUGUGACUUUGUUGAAAGUUCGUAAAUGGAAAAGGCAGCUGCCCCUGCGGCUUGGAACUCUCAAUUCGGAGGAUGGAAGUCAGCCUAGCUGCUUCUUGAAGUAUCAAGAAAUUGGUACAAAAACUUGUCUGUGUGUGAGAGGUUUCAGAUCAUAACAAUUCAUCAAACCUUCAGAAUCAAAUGUUUUCCUUUGCUGAUUUUCUUUAUGGCCGAAGCCUCCUGGGUGUUUGUGGAUUGUUUCAAUAGCUGAAGAAAAUGUUUAUAUUUCUGUGGCAGCUAAGCUUGCCUUCAUUUAGAAGGUAAUAUGAUCAAGGGAAAUGGAAAAGGUAAACAGGUAGCAAUAUUAUGCAAUCUUAAGCAUUGUGCUGCUUAAUGUUUGAGUUGUUGGCUAGAACUCUGUACUGGAACAACAUGAUUUGUUCUACAAGGACGACAAAAGUUCUUGAAACUCCCACAAUAUUGGAUAA
Prunus dulcis (almond) is the source of this 1378-nucleotide RNA transcript. RefSeq lists it as uncharacterized. The transcript is spliced from 4 exons. NCBI's taxonomy places the organism in Eukaryota, Viridiplantae, Streptophyta, Magnoliopsida, Rosales, Rosaceae. The record is from RefSeq and is a predicted model, not a curated record.